UACGUAGGGGGCAAGCGUUGUCCGGAUUUAUUGGGCGUAAAGAGCGUGUAGGCGGCCUGACAAGUCUGCUGUGAAAACUCGAGGCUCAACCUCGAGAUGUCGGCGGAAACUGUCUGGCUAGAGUCCGGAAGAGGAGAGUGGAAUUCCUGGUGUAGCGGUGAAAUGCGUAGAGAUGCGGAGGAACACCGAUGGCGAAGGCAGCCCCCUGGGCUAACACUGACGCUCAGGCACGAAAGCGUGGGGAGCAAACAGG
This 253-nucleotide ribosomal RNA is filed under the name uncultured bacterium. Its description in RNAcentral is "partial 16S ribosomal RNA". It matches the Rfam family "Bacterial small subunit ribosomal RNA", at positions 524 to 776 of the family's 1533-position model. The record is from RNAcentral.